AGUGAACGCUGGCGGUAGGCCUAACACAUGCAAGUCGAACGGCAGCACAGUAAGAGCUUGCUCUUACGGGUGGCGAGUGGCGGACGGGUGAGGAAUACAUCGGAAUCUACUUUUUCGUGGGGGAUAACGUAGGGAAACUUACGCUAAUACCGCAUACGACCUACGGGGGAAAGCAGGGGAUCUUCGGACCUUGCGCGAUUGAAUGAGCCGAUGUCGGAUUAGCUAGUUGGCGGGGUAAAGGCCCACCAAGGCGACGAUCCGUAGCUGGUCUGAGAGGAUGAUCAGCCACACUGGAACUGAGACACGGUCCAGACUCCUACGGGAGGCAGCAGUGGGGACUAUUGGACAAUGGGCGCAAGCCUGAUCCAGCCAUACCGCGUGGGUGAAGCAGGCCUUCGGGUUGUAAAGCCCUUUUGUUGGGAAAGAAAAGCAGCAGGUUAAUCCCCCGCUGUUCUGACGGUACCCAAAGAAUAAGCACCGGCUAACUUCGUG
RNAcentral lists this ribosomal RNA (492 nucleotides) under uncultured bacterium. RNAcentral's name for it is "partial 16S ribosomal RNA". It matches the Rfam family "Bacterial small subunit ribosomal RNA", at positions 29 to 507 of the family's 1533-position model. The record is from RNAcentral.